UACGUAGGGGGCCUAGCGCUUGUCCGGAAUCAUUGGGCGUAAGCGCGUGUAGGCGGUCCGGUAAGUCCGCUGUGAAAGUCGGGGGCUCAACCCUCGGAUGCCGGUGGAUACUGUCGGGCUUGAGUACGGAAGAGGCGAGUGGAAUUCCUGGUGUAGCGGUGAAUGCGCAGAUAUCUGGAGGAAUACCGGUGGCGAAGGCGGCGAGUCCUCGGAGCCGGCAU
This 221-nucleotide ribosomal RNA is filed under the name uncultured bacterium. RNAcentral's name for it is "partial 16S ribosomal RNA". It matches the Rfam family "Bacterial small subunit ribosomal RNA", at positions 524 to 740 of the family's 1533-position model. The record is from RNAcentral.